CGAACGCUGGUAGCGUGGAUUAGGCAUGCAAGUCGAACGGGAUCCGGGAGGUAGCAAUACUUCCUGGUGAGAGUGGCGGAUUGGGGAGGAACACGUGAGCAACCUGCCUUGGAGUCGGGGAAAACCGUUGGAAACGACGGCUAAUACCGGAUGUGGCGCCCGAUGACAUCAUCGGAGCGCUAAAGGGGGCCGCAAGGCUCUCGCUCCUUGAGGGGCUCGCGCACCAUCAGCUUGUUGGCGGGGUAACGGCCCACCAAGGCCUACGGUUAGCUGGUCUGAGAGGAUGACCAGCCCCACUGGGACUGAGAUACUGCCCAGACUCCUACGGGAGGCUGCAGUCGAGGAUCAUUUGCAAUGGGCGAAAGCCUGACAAUGCGACGCUGCGUGGAGGAUGAAGGCCUUCGGGUUGUAAACUCCUGUCAUGGGGGAACAGGCGAGGGGAGUCAAUACCUCCCUUAGUUGAGUGUACCCCAAGAGGAAUUGGCGGCUAACUCUGUGCCAGCAGCUGC
RNAcentral lists this ribosomal RNA (509 nucleotides) under uncultured bacterium. RNAcentral describes it as "bacterial SSU rRNA". It matches the Rfam family "Bacterial small subunit ribosomal RNA", at positions 30 to 518 of the family's 1533-position model. The record is from RNAcentral.